Molecule: ribosomal RNA, 362 nt
Filed under: uncultured bacterium
Lineage: Bacteria
Description: bacterial SSU rRNA
Rfam family: Bacterial small subunit ribosomal RNA
Source: RNAcentral
GGAGGGGGCAAGCGUUAUUCAUCAUAAUUGGGCGUAUAGGGUACGUAGGCUGUUUUUAAAGUUUAAAGUGAAAUACUAAGGCUUAACCUUAGAACGCUUUCUAUGUUUCUAAAAACUUGAGUUAAAGUAAGGUUAGUGGUACUCUCAGUGUAGAGGUGGAAUUCGUAAAAAUUGAAGGGGACCACCAUCGGGCGAAGGCGACUAACUGGCUUUAACUGACGCUGAUGUACGAAAGCACAGGUAGCAAACAGGAUUAGAUACCCUGGUAGUCUGUGCUGUAAUCGAUGAAUGUUGAGUGUUAUUUUUAGAUGCUUAAGCUAACGCGUUAAACAUUCCGCCUGAGGACUACGGUCGCAAGAUUA